GACGAACGCUGGCGGCGUGCCUAAUACAUGCAAGUCGAACCGAGUGGCGAACGGGUGAGUAUUACGUGAGUAACCUGCCCUCAACUGUGGGAUAAGCCUGGGAAACUGGGUCUAAUACUGAAUAGUUGGGGAUGGGCUCGCGGCCUAUCAGCUUGUUGGGGGGGGGAUGGCCUACCAAGGCGGUGGAGGGUAGCCGGCCUGUGAGGGUGGUCGGCCAGAUGGGGAGUGGGAUACGGCCCAGACGCCGACGGGAGGCAGCAGUGGGGGAUAUGGGAAAAUGGGAGCAAGCCUGAUGCAGGGAGGCCGCGUGGGGGAUGAAGGCUUUCGGGUUGUAAACCGCUUUCGGUACAGAACGGGUAUGUGCAGAAGAAGCGCCGGCUAACUACGUGCCAGCAGCCGCGGUAAUAC
RNAcentral lists this ribosomal RNA (408 nucleotides) under uncultured bacterium. Its description in RNAcentral is "partial 16S ribosomal RNA". It matches the Rfam family "Bacterial small subunit ribosomal RNA", at positions 28 to 526 of the family's 1533-position model. The record is from RNAcentral.